Molecule: ribosomal RNA, 491 nt
Filed under: uncultured bacterium
Lineage: Bacteria
Description: partial 16S ribosomal RNA
Rfam family: Bacterial small subunit ribosomal RNA
Source: RNAcentral
AGUGAACGCUGGCGGUAGGCCUAACACAUGCAAGUCGAACGGCAGCACAGUAAGAGCUUGCUCUUACGGGUGGCGAGUGGCGGACGGGUGAGGAAUACAUCGGAAUCUACUUUUUCGUGGGGGAUAACGUAGGGAAACUUACGCCAAUACCGCAUACGACCUACGGGUGAAAGCAGGGGACCUUCGGACCUUGCGCGAUUGAAUGAGCCGAUGUCGGAUUAGCUAGUUGGGGGGGUAAAGGCCCACCAAGGCGACGAUCCGUAGCUGGUCUGAGAGGAUGAUCAGCCACACUGGAACUGAGACACGGCCCGGACUCCUACGGAAGGCAGCAGUGGGGAAUAUUGGACAAUGGGCGCAAGCCUGAUCCAGCCAUACCGCGUGGGUGAAGAAGGCUUUCGGGUUGUAAAGCCUUUUUGUUGGGAAAGAAAAGCAGCAGGUUAAUACCCCGCUGUUCUGACGGUACCCAAAGAAUAAGCACCGGCUAACUUCGU